UAUGAUCACAUCACGCUGCAACACCGGUUCCUGUAUGAUCAGCAAAGUUAAGCAACGUCGAGCCUAGUCAGUACCUAGACGAGUGACUGCUUGGGAAUACCAGGUGCU
This is a non-coding RNA of Acanthosepion pharaonis, 108 nucleotides long. NCBI's taxonomy places the organism in Eukaryota, Metazoa, Mollusca, Cephalopoda, Sepiida, Sepiidae. The record is from the annotation of a GenBank genome assembly.